RNAcentral lists this unclassified non-coding RNA (2035 nucleotides) under Apis dorsata (giant honeybee). Its description in RNAcentral is "excitatory amino acid transporter, transcript variant X3". Lineage: Eukaryota; Metazoa; Arthropoda; Insecta; Hymenoptera; Apidae. The record is from RNAcentral.
AGUCCUCGGCUCGGUUCUCCGAGUACUUGUUCGCCAAGAUGGAUGGCCAGGACGUGUCGGCCUCUCAGGGUCCCCGUAAGGUGACCGCCGACACCAGAAAAUUCAUGCGGGAGAAUCUUCUUCUCAUAGUUACCCUUUCCGGUGUCCUCUUCGGCGUCGUACUCGGGUUCGGUUUACGACCCUUGGGCCUCGGCGAUGACGCAGUUAUGUUAAUCAGUUAUCCCGGAGAGCUCUUCAUGAGGUUGUUAAAGUUAAUGAUCUUACCACUGGUGAUUGCCAGCCUUAUAUCGGGCUCGGCGAGUUUGAACGCGAGGAUGAACGGGAUGAUCGCCGUCCGAACUUUGGUGUACUUUAUACUCUCCUCCUUGUUGAACGCUGUCCUCGGUGUUGUCCUGGUUCUGCUCAUUCAUCCGGGUAAUCCUGGAAUUAGAAAAUCGAUCGCGACCUCGCACAAUGGAAGGGCCGUGAACAUCUUGGACAGCCUUCUCGAUUUGGGAAGAAAUAUGUUUCCGGAUAAUAUAUUCCAAGCAGCUUUUCAGCAGGCACACACGGUAUACGUUCCAAAAACGCCGCCCUUCCAGAACCUCACCUCGACGGUUUCCAUAUCCUCGGACGUUCUCGGUGACGAGGAAUUGAUGAGAGUGACGCAGUACAGAAGCGGGACAAACACUCUGGGCAUUGUUUUCUUCUGCCUGGUGUUCGGCACAUUCUUGGGUACUCUCGGGGAGAAAGGCCAAAUCGUGAUCGACUUCUUCAAAGCUGUGUUCGAAGUGAUCAUGAGAAUGGUGUCUACGGUGAUGUGGAUGACACCUGUGGGCAUCACGUCCGUGAUAGCUGGGAAAAUAUUGGGCGUAGCCGACUUGGCGUUGGUGAUGUCGCAGCUCGCCUGGUUCAUCGUCACGAUCGUGAUCGGUGUGUUUUUCUAUCAGCUGGUGAUCAUGCAGCUGAUCUAUUUGGCCUUCGUGAGAAAGAACCCCUUUAAAUUCUACGCCGGCCUCGCCCAGGGUACACUCACCGCCUUCGCCAUGGCAUCAACGGCUGCCGCACUUCCCGUCACUUUUCGCCUGAUGACGGACAAACUUCGAGUCGAUCCUAGAGUGACCAGAUUCGUUCUACCGAUCGGUUGCAAUAUUAACAUGGACGGGACGGCGUUGUUCGUGGCAGUGGCAAGCAUAUUCAUCGCCCAGAUGCACGGGAUCGCUUUGGGCUUCGGUGAAAUCAUAACGGUUAUUUUGACCUCCACCGCCGCGUCCGUGUCAUCGGCGUCAGUCCCAAGCGCCGCUUUGGUCCUCCUUCUGGUAGUGUUGAGCGCCAUCAACGCCCCCGUUUACAACGUCUCCCUUUUAUUCACCAUCGAUUGGUUCGUGUAAGUAACGGAUCGCAUUCGUACCACGAACAACAUGUUGGGCGAUUGCUACGCCGCCGCUGUGGUCGAGCAGUUGUCGAAAAAGGAAUUGAUGGCGCUGGAUGCGGCAGCCUAUCAAUCGGAAACCGUUUUGCCCACAACGAUCGCGAACGGAUGCAUUUCCGCAAACAGGGUACCCGAUCCCGACACCAUCGUCGUCGAGAUGCAAGACGACACGAGGAUAGCCGGCGUCGCCAAGUAAACAAGCUUGUUGCAUCAGCGUGUUGCAGAUACCGAGGAGCGUGACGGAAGAGACAGUUUGACCUGUGGCUUCGCUACGAAAACAUAGUUUAGCUUUAAGUUACACCAUCAUCUAAAGAGAGAGAGAGAAAGAGAGAGAGAGAGAGAGAGAAUGCGAUGCGUUCAUUGCGGGGAUCAAAAAAAAGAAACAGUUCAUCGGCUACGAGAAGAAAAAAAAAAAAAAAAAGAAAUGUUUUUCUACUCUAUUUCUCUCCGAGUGUUGUAAAGAAUUACGGCACUGCUGUCUCAAAAAAACGAAUAUCAAAUAAAGUAAAGUCAAUAUAUCGAGGAGUGCGCUACGCGAUUUAUCGUCGUUUAGUGCUAUGCGAGCAUAGCAAUAACUUUUGUAGUGGCUUCUUCGAGCGAGUUGAGAUGAGGAGAAAAAGAAAA